This is a non-coding RNA of Elaeis guineensis (African oil palm), 1667 nucleotides long. The record is from RefSeq and is a predicted model, not a curated record. Lineage: Eukaryota; Viridiplantae; Streptophyta; Magnoliopsida; Arecales; Arecaceae.
UCCACCGAAAAUUAUGAAGCAUAUAUCGAAUGAAGCAUCGAACAGAGUCAUCCUUCAUGGUCGACUCAAUGUAAGCAGCUGGCAUGUCAGAUUAAGCAAAUCUAUCCAAGGCACAUUCCUGUCAGCUGGAUGGCCAAACUCUGUGAAAGACUACUCUUUGAAGAAACAUGAAUUCCUACUGUUUUGAUAUGCUGGAAAUAUGCAUUCAAUGUUCUAAUCUUUGAUAAAACUGCAUGUGAGAAAGAGGAUGAGCUUUCGGUUAAAACCUGUGAAGAAUCCAAGCUUUGUGAAGGAUAGAAGAAAUCAGGUGGACCAGUGAAGCAUUAUUUGGAUGAUGGUUUCCAUGCACAGCUUGCCAAAAAUUAAACGUGAGUUGGAGGAGCUUUUCACAGAUAAUGUUCAUGCAUCUGAGCAGAGAAAAGAUUCUUACUCUAAUAUAGCUAAAAGCUGAAGUGAUAAUGUCCCAAGCGGUAUGCUUGGUUUAAGCUUCAAAGGCUAAAUGCACCAAGGGCUACUUGUCAAGAUGACGACCUGUGAUAGAAGAAGAAGGACAAAAAGCAAAGGAGGUGGCUUAUGCAUUCAGCUCCUAGUUUUCUUAUUUUAUUUAAUCAUGGCGACAACCAACGCAUACAAGUCAUUUGCACUGAUACUUUGUAAUUCUUCAUGGGGGCACAUUUCUCCAGGGAAGAACGAACUUGGUCCUCCAGGACACAGAUGGGAAGCUUGGGUGGUAGUCUAUGUUCUAAGCAUGAAAACAAAAUAUCUGCAGGGUGGACUACCUUUGCACUUGGCAACCCCACGUUAAGGAUGGGGACUUGUGCAUUGGAGCUAGUAGGACCUAUUCAUGAGUUGCAUGUCCAUAUCUUCAGGAAAAUAUCUAUCAUCUCUUAAACCAUGUGAGCACAUUAAAAUCAAGGCUGAAAACGAUGAUGUUCAAAUUGGUAUGCUUGGUUCAAAGGCUAUAUGCGCCAAGGGCUGGUUGUCAAGACAAUGACCUGAGACAGAAGAAGAAAGACAAAAAGCAAAGGAGGUGGCUUAUGCCUUCCACUCCCACUUUUCUUAUUUUAUUUACACAUGGCAGCAACCAACGUGUGCAAGUCAUUUACAUUAAUACCUUGUAAUUCUUCGUGGGAGCACAUUUCUCCACUAAAGAACGAGCUUGGUCCUCUGGGACCCAGAUGGGAAGGCUUGGGUGGUAGUCUAUGUUCUAAGCAUGAAAACAAAAUAUCCGCAGGGUGGACUACCUUUGCACUUGGCAACCCCACCUCGAGUUGCAUGUCCAUAUCUUCAGGUUAGUGGAGGAUACUAAACCACUAAUUGGGGUGUAGGGAAUCUGUCUGGCUCGAGGUGUGAAGAUCUGCUAUGCAUUGUACUUCUUUUGUUUAGAAACUACUGUUGAUAUGACCAGCUCUGACUGCUUUUACCAGUGCCUGGAUGAUUAUUGUUCUGACGUUUUCCAUGUAUUUCUUCUUCAGCAUUCCAUCUCGACCUAAUAUAUUUGAGAAUGCCCAAAAAUUUAUAGUUGGGCAUGGUAGGGUUUUGGCUUGCUAUUGCCAUUAUAAAGUGGAUAUGGACAUGCUGAUUUGCAUUUUCCACUUUCAAUUUUUGAUUGUUUUGUCUGAGACACUGUGCUAUUUCAUCAUCUAACCAAGUGAACCAAACAUUGA